This 494-nucleotide long non-coding RNA is filed under the name Elaeis guineensis (African oil palm). Its description in RNAcentral is "long non-coding RNA (EGUI_LNC027677)". The record is from RNAcentral. Lineage: Eukaryota; Viridiplantae; Streptophyta; Magnoliopsida; Arecales; Arecaceae.
GUGUGAGUGGUUCCUUUUGGUUACUUUCUUGGUUGCGUAGUCGUAGACGCUAAUAAAAAGUUCUUUGUUCAUGUGGUGUUUUAACAAGAAAGGAGAGGUUCUAUUUGACUUGAAUUCGAGAAAUGCUUUCCUAAGUUAUGUAGGAAAAGGGAUUGCUCAUAUUACGGAAUAAGUUAGACUUGUGAAAUAGGACCACUUUUGGAGUGUGAUUUGCGUGACAAGGGAAAAUUCAUGGAAAAUAUGUCGAUAACUAGCUUUGUGUUUGUGCAUGUGUGCAUCAAAGCUUUUGUCAUGUUCAUCACUGUCUACAGCAUGCCAAAAGCUGUUUUUGUUUUUUUCUCCCUCACCAUCCAUCAUUUUUGCUGAGAAUGAAAGUGCAGACAUCCAGAAAGUAAGAAACAUUGAAACAAGAGAAGAGAAAAAAAGGGGAAAGGGUCAGCAAAAGCAAAUUUAGCUUCAUCUGGUGUAAAUUCUGGCUGAUGAAUUUUACAAUC